AGAGUUUGAUCAUGGCUUAGGAUGAACGCUGGCGGUAUGCCUAACACAUGCAAGUCGAACGAUGUCUUCGGACAUAGUGGCGGACGGGUGAGUAACGCGUGAGAAUCUGCCUCUAGGAUGGGGAUAACGGUUGGAAACUACCGCUAACACCCAAUAUGCCGUAAGGUGAAAAAUUUAUUGCCUGGAGAGGAGCUCGCGUCUGAUUAGCUAGUUGGUGGGGUAAGAGCUCACCAAGGCCUCGAUCAGUAGCUGGUCUGAGAGGAUGAGCAGCCACACUGGGACUGAGACACGGCCCAGACUCCUACGGGAGGCAGCAGUGGGGAAUUUUCCGCAAUGGGCGAAAGCCUGACGGAGCAAUACCGCGUGAGGGAGGAAUGCCUUUGGGUUGUAAACCUCUUUUCUCAGGGAAGAAGAUCUGACGGUACCUGAGGAAUAAGUAUCGGCUAACUCCGUGCCAGCAGCCGCGGUAAUACGGAGGAUGCAAGCGUUAUCCGGAAUCAUUGGGCGUAAAGCGUCCGCAGGUGGUUUCCAAAGUCUGCUGUUAAAGACUGGAGCUCAACUCCGGAACGGCGGUGGAAACUUGGAAACUAGAGUUCGGUAGGGGUAGCAGGAAUUCCCAGUGUAGCGGUGAAAUGCGUAGAUAUUGGGAAGAACAUCGGUGGCGAAGGCGUGCUACUGGACCGUAACUGACACUCAGGGACGAAAGCUAGGGGAGCGGAAGGGAUUAGAUACCCCUGUAGUCCUAGCUGUAAACGAUGGAAACUAGGUGUGGCUUGUAUCGACCCGAGCCGUGCCG
RNAcentral lists this ribosomal RNA (796 nucleotides) under uncultured marine microorganism. RNAcentral's name for it is "bacterial SSU rRNA". It matches the Rfam family "Bacterial small subunit ribosomal RNA", at positions 8 to 848 of the family's 1533-position model. The record is from RNAcentral.